Molecule: ribosomal RNA, 164 nt
Filed under: uncultured bacterium
Lineage: Bacteria
Description: partial 16S ribosomal RNA
Rfam family: Bacterial small subunit ribosomal RNA
Source: RNAcentral
UAGGGAAUCUUCCACAAUGGGCGAAAGCCUGAUGGAGCAACGCCGCGUGUGUGAUGAAGGGUUUCGGCUCGUAAAACAUUGUUGUAAGAGAAGAAUGACAUUGAGAGUAACUGUUCAAUGUGUGACGGUAUCUUACCAGAAAGGAACGGCUAAAUACGUGCCAG